CCUACGGGAGGCAGCAGUGGGGAAUAUUGGUCAAUGGGCGCAAGCCUGACCCAGCAAUGCCGCGUGAAGGAAGAAGGCUCUCGGGUUGUAAACUUCUUUUACAGGGGAAGAGCAGAAGACGGUACCCUGAAAACAAGCCACGGCUAACUACGUGCCAGCAGCCGCGGUAAUACGUAGGUGGCAAGCGUUGUCCGGAUUUACUGGGUGUAAAGGGCGUGUAGACGGGAAGGCAAGUCAGAUGUGAAAUCUGGAGGCUCAACCUCCGAAUUGCAUUUGAAACUGUUUUUCUUGAGUACUGGAGAGGCAGACGGAAUUCCUUGUGUAGCGGUGAAAUGCGUAGAUAUAAGGAGGAACACCAGUGGCGAAGGCGGUCUGCUGGACAGCAACUGACGGUGAGGCGCGAAAGCGUGGGGAGCAAACAGGAUUAGAUACCCGGGUAGUC
RNAcentral lists this ribosomal RNA (442 nucleotides) under uncultured bacterium. Its description in RNAcentral is "partial 16S ribosomal RNA". It matches the Rfam family "Bacterial small subunit ribosomal RNA", at positions 338 to 795 of the family's 1533-position model. The record is from RNAcentral.